Molecule: long non-coding RNA, 690 nt
Filed under: Homo sapiens (human)
Lineage: Eukaryota; Metazoa; Chordata; Mammalia; Primates; Hominidae
Description: HSALNT0384647
Source: RNAcentral
AGGAAGCCGACUCCUAGUGGAGAGUAGGCCGAACUCAACCGAAGAGAGCCGAGUCCGAGAGGACGGCAGCCAGCCGAACGUAGCCGAGGAGAGCUGAGACUGAGAUGAUCGUGGGCCGAACGCAGCCGAAGAGGAGCCGAGGCCACGACAGGCGCGCUCUCAGAAAGCCGAAGAGAGCCGAGCCUGAGAAGGCAAGCGUUGGCCGAACUCAGCCGAAGAAGAGCCGAGUGGAGCCGAAGAUUCAUGGAGUCACCUGUAGGGGCUGGCGCCCCCUGUCGGUGUAGCUUGCAGAUAUCAGGCUCCAUUCACGUCUCUUUUGAGUUUCCACAUCCCCUGGCACCCUAGCCUCAAGCUGCCAAAAAGCAAGGGAAGGGGAAGUAAGCCUAAGGAGCUUAAUCCCCCGACAUCGACAGUUGAAAAAGUUACUGGUCAAUAUUCCAAAUGCGCCAAGAGAUGUUGAUAUGUUGCCCAGGCUGGAGUGCAGUGGCUGUGGAAUAAGCAGAAUCAUUUACUGACUUCAGACCUCUGUUUGCCUCCCAAAGACUUCAAUACAAUAAACUAUUUUUAAAAAUCCCUCCUUCCACUAGAGGGACACCUCCCGCAGUGUUUGUUCUAUACCUAGAAAUGCCUGAUAGUUGAACUAGUAGAGGAAUUGUUUUGUAUAGAAACCCCCCACCUUUGUUAUUAGAA